GACGAACGCUGGCGGCGUGCUUAACACAUGCAAGUCGAACGGAAAGGCCCUGCUUUUGUGGGGUGCUCGAGUGGCGAACGGGUGAGUAACACGUGAGUAACCUGCCCUUGACUUUGGGAUAACUUCAGGAAACUGGGGCUAAUACCGGAUAGGAGCUCCUGCUGCAUGGUGGGGGUUGGAAAGUUUCGGCGGUUGGGGAUGGACUCGCGGCUUAUCAGCUUGUUGGUGGGGUAGUGGCUUACCAAGGCUUUGACGGGUAGCCGGCCUGAGAGGGUGACCGGCCACAUUGGGACUGAGAUACGGCCCAGACUCCUACGGGAGGCAGCAGUGGGGAAUAUUGCACAAUGGGCGGAGGCCUGAUGCAGCAACGCCUCGUGCGGGAUGACGGCCUUCGGGUUGUAAACCGCUUUCGCCUGUGACGAAGCGUGAGUGACGGUAAUGUGUAAAGAAGCACCGGCUAGCUACGUG
RNAcentral lists this ribosomal RNA (468 nucleotides) under uncultured bacterium. RNAcentral describes it as "partial 16S ribosomal RNA". It matches the Rfam family "Bacterial small subunit ribosomal RNA", at positions 28 to 507 of the family's 1533-position model. The record is from RNAcentral.